This 1463-nucleotide long non-coding RNA is filed under the name Homo sapiens (human). Its description in RNAcentral is "HSALNT0082783". The record is from RNAcentral. Lineage: Eukaryota; Metazoa; Chordata; Mammalia; Primates; Hominidae.
AGUGCUUCUAGGCCCUGGUCAUAAAGCAGUAAACAAGACAAACAGGACUUUCUGAUCUCGUGAAGAAAACUAAACAGGGCAGACAGAGUGCCAGCCUGCCAUGCAAGCACCGUGAUCAGGGAAGGGCUCGCCAGAAGGCCCAUGAGCGAGACCUGUAGAAGUGAGAGAGCCACCCACAAAGAUGUUGGAGAAAGGAUGUUGCAGACAGAGGCCCAGAGGAAGGAGCAUAACCUAACACGUUUGAAGAGCAGGAAGCAGUCAAGAGAGGGUGAGCAAAGGAAGCACAUGUGAGGUGGAGAAGGAAGGGGCUGGGGGCCACCAGAUGGAGGGUUUUUGGUUUUUACUGAUUGUGGUGAGAAGCCAUUGGACAUGUUUACAAAGGACUGAUAUUACCAGACCUGUCUUUUAACAGGAUCCCUACGUAAUGAAUAGAAGACUAAGAAGAACCAGUGGAAGAGGGAGAACAGUUAAGAGACUAUUGCCAUAAUCCAAGUGCAAGGUGGAGGUGACUUGGACCAGGAGUAGCAAGAUGAGUGGUGAAGAGGGGUCAGGUUAUGGAUCUAUUUGGAAGGUAGAAUCACAGACGUUCUGACAGAUUAAAUUAAGCAUAGUGGAGAAAGAAGGGAGUGUAAGGAUUAUCUCCUAGGUACGUGGGUAUACCCAUUUGGAGUUCAAGGGUAAGGUCUGGACUAAACCUUUGAAUCUGGGAGUCGUCAGUGUAUGGAUGGUGCUUAAAGCUAUGAGACUGUUUGAAAUCCCUAAGGGAGUACAUGCGGGUAGAGAAGAUGUCAGAGGACUAGCCCCUAAGCUGUUGCAGCGUGUAAAGCACAGGGUGAACAGCAGGAACCGCAAAGCAGAGGGAGAAAUGAGGCCAACGAUGAAGGAAGGAAACCAAGAAGUCUGGGGUGUCAUGGAGCCAAGUGAGAAAGUGUUUGAGGGUCAGGCAACAACCAGCUGUGCAAAUGCUAUUCAUGGCUAAGUGAGAAGAGGGUUAAGAAUUGAUCAUGGGCUAUAACAACAUGGAAGAUAUUCACAUUUUGAAAUGAGCAAUUUCUGUGAAAGGACAGAGGAAACUGUCAGACCUAGUGGAUCUGAGAGGAAAAAUGAAGACAGAAAUUGGAGAUGAAUGAGCAGCUGCACGGCUUCCCGGGCAUCACAGAAUCUCAGCCGUCAGAGUCACCAUAUUCUCCAAGAACGACGUCGUCUUCUCGGUCAAAGUCACCAUAUUCUCCAAGAGUGACGUCGUCCUUCAGUCACCUCCUUGUGCUUCACCCCACCACACUCCUGCCUUCUUUAGCAACUGUUGUGUUUGGACGGCCCUCACGGCCUCCAUAAUCUCCAAGAGUGACGUCGCCUUCUCAGUCAAAGUCACCAUAUUCUCCAACAGCGACGUCGUCUUCUCAGUCACAUCCUUGUGCUUCACCCCGCCGCGCUCCCGCCUUCCUUAGCAUCUCUUCACCCCG